Monopterus albus (swamp eel) is the source of this 110-nucleotide long non-coding RNA. RefSeq lists it as uncharacterized. The record is from RefSeq and is a predicted model, not a curated record. NCBI's taxonomy places the organism in Eukaryota, Metazoa, Chordata, Actinopteri, Synbranchiformes, Synbranchidae. The transcript has 2 exons.
AUAAUAAGGAAGCGUGGUUCAAUUGGCGCCAGUCUGCCAUACACUCUCAUGGAGUUAAUUUGAGUGCAACGGAGCUAAAGCUGUUCUUGUUAUGUUGUCUUCUGUACCAG